UUUCCGUAGGUGAACCUGCGGAAGGAUCAUUAUUGAGCCCUGCCCUCACGGGUAGACCUCCAACCCUGUGUAUUUAUACCAUUGUUGCCUCGGCAGAAGCUGCUCGGUGCACCCUACCUUGGAACGGCCUACCCUGUAGCGCCUUACCCUGGAACGGCUUACCCUGUAACGGCUGCCGGUGGACUACCAAACUCUUGUUAUUUUAUUGUAAUCUGAGCGUCUUAUUUUAAUAAGUCAAAACUUUCAACAACGGAUCUCUUGGUUCUGGCAUCGAUGAAGAACGCAGC
RNAcentral lists this unclassified non-coding RNA (287 nucleotides) under uncultured fungus. Its description in RNAcentral is "sequence contains ITS1, 5.8S rRNA gene". The stretch from base 239 to 287 matches the Rfam family "5.8S ribosomal RNA", at positions 1 to 49 of the family's 154-position model. Lineage: Eukaryota; Fungi. The record is from RNAcentral.